This 501-nucleotide ribosomal RNA is filed under the name uncultured eukaryote. Its description in RNAcentral is "bacterial SSU rRNA". It matches the Rfam family "Eukaryotic small subunit ribosomal RNA", at positions 632 to 1121 of the family's 1831-position model. The record is from RNAcentral.
AGUUGGUUGUUAUAUCUCCACUAAUAGAGCGGAGAGGGGUAAAACUCUCAAAGUAAGUUAUGUGGAUCAAGGUAUGAUGAUUUAAUUGGAGUUCUAGUUCAUUUACUUUGAGAAAAUUAGAGUGUUUUAAAAGCAGCCUCUUGGGGGCACUGAAUACAUUAGCAUGGGAUAAUAAAAUAGGAUCUUCACAAUAUAUUUUAUUGGUUUUAAAUUGGAUAUGAAGAUAAUGAUUAAUAGGGACAGUUGGGGGUAUUCAUAUUGGGUGGUUAGCGGUGAAAUGCUCGGAUCCAUUCAAGAUGAACUAAAGCGAAGGCAUUUACCAAGGAUGUUUUCAUUAAUCAAGAACGAAAGUUAAGGGGAUCGAAGACGAUUAGAUACCGUCGUAGUCUUAACUAUAAACUAUGCCGACCAGGGAUAUGAGUUGUUAGGAAUAUACGCAAGUAUAUUCAAUUUCUUCUUAUGAACCUUGUGAGAAAUCAUAAGUUUUUGGGUUCUGGGGGG